RNAcentral lists this ribosomal RNA (567 nucleotides) under Aspergillus tamarii. RNAcentral describes it as "eukaryotic LSU rRNA". The stretch from base 195 to 348 matches the Rfam family "5.8S ribosomal RNA". The record is from RNAcentral. Lineage: Eukaryota; Fungi; Ascomycota; Eurotiomycetes; Eurotiales; Aspergillaceae.
AAGGAUCAUUACCGAGUGUAGGGUUCCUAGCGAGCCCAACCUCCCACCCGUGUUUACUGUAACCUUAGUUGCUUCGGCGGGCCCGCCUUUAAGGCCGCCGGGGGGCAUCAGCCCCCGGGCCCGCGCCCGCCGGAGACACCACGAACUCUGUCUGAUCUAGUGAAGUCUGAGUUGAUUGUAUCGCAAUCAGUUAAAACUUUCAACAAUGGAUCUCUUGGUUCCGGCAUCGAUGAAGAACGCAGCGAAAUGCGAUAACUAGUGUGAAUUGCAGAAUUCCGUGAAUCAUCGAGUCUUUGAACGCACAUUGCGCCCCCUGGUAUUCCGGGGGGCAUGCCUGUCCGAGCGUCAUUGCUGCCCAUCAAGCACGGCUUGUGUGUUGGGUCGUCGUCCCCUCUUCGGGGGGGACGGGCCCCAAAGGCAGCGGCGGCACCGCGUCCGAUCCUCGAGCGUAUGGGGCUUUGUCACCCGCUCUGUAGGCCCGGCCGGCGCUUGCCGAACGCAAAACAACCAUUCUUUCCAGGUUGACCUCGGAUCAGGUAGGGAUACCCGCUGAACUUAAGCAUAUCA